AUCCUGGCUCAGGACGAACGCUGGCGGCGUGCUUAACACAUGCAAGUCGAACGAUGAAGCCUUUCGGGGUGGAUUAGUGGCGAACGGGUGAGUAACACGUGGGCAAUCUGCCCUUCACUCUGGGACAAGCCCUGGAAACGGGGUCUAAUACCGGAUAACACUCUGUCCCGCAUGGGACGGGGUUAAAAGCUCCGGCGGUGAAGGAUGAGCCCGCGGCCUAUCAGCUUGUUGGUGGGGUAAUGGCCUACCAAGGCGACGACGGGUAGCCGGCCUGAGAGGGCGACCGGCCACACUGGGACUGAGACACGGCCCAGACUCCUACGGGAGGCAGCAGUGGGGAAUAUUGCACAAUGGGCGAAAGCCUGAUGCAGCGACGCCGCGUGAGGGAUGACGGCCUUCGGGUUGUAAACCUCUUUCAGCAGGGAAGAAGCGAGAGUGACGGUACCUGCAGAAGAAGCGCCGGCUAACUACGUGCCAGCAGCCGCGGUAAUACGUAGGGCGCAAGCGUUGUCCGGAAUUAUUGGGCGUAAAGAGCUCGUAGGCGGCUUGUCACGUCGGAUGUGAAAGCCCGGGGCUUAACCCCGGGUCUGCAUUCGAUACGGGCUAGCUAGAGUGUGGUAGGGGAGAUCGGAAUUCCUGGUGUAGCGGUGAAAUGCGCAGAUAUCAGGAGGAACACCGGUGGCGAAGGCGGAUCUCUGGGCCAUUACUGACGCUGAGGAGCGAAAGCGUGGGGAGCGAACAGGAUUAGAUACCCUGGUAGUCCACGCCGUAAACGUUGGGAACUAGGUGUUGGCGACAUUCCACGUCGUCGGUGCCGCAGCUAACGCAUUAAGUUCCCCGCCUGGGGAGUACGGCCGCAAGGCUAAAACUCAAAGGAAUUGACGGGGGCCCGCACAAGCAGCGGAGCAUGUGGCUUAAUUCGACGCAACGCGAAGAACCUUACCAAGGCUUGACAUAUACCGGAAAGCAUCAGAGAUGGUGCCCCCCUUGUGGUCGGUAUACAGGUGGUGCAUGGCUGUCGUCAGCUCGUGUCGUAGAGAUGUUGGGUUAAGUCCCGCAACGAGCGCAACCCUUGUUCUGUGUUGCCAGCAUGCCCUUCGGGGUGAUGGGGACUCACAGGAGACUGCCGGGGUCAACUCGGAGGAAGGUGGGGACGACGUCAAGUCAUCAUGCCCCUUAUGUCUUGGGCUGCACACGUGCUACAAUGGCCGGUACAAUGAGCUGCGAUGCCGCGAGGCGGAGCGAAUCUCAAAAAGCCGGUCUCAGUUCGGAUUGGGGUCUGCAACUCGACCCCAUGAAGUCGGAGUUGCUAGUAAUCGCAGAUCAGCAUUGCUGCGGUGAAUACGUUCCCGGGCCUUGUACACACCGCCCGUCACGUCACGAAAGUCGGUAACACCCGAAGCCGGUGGCCCAACCCCUUGUGGGAGGGAGCUGUCGAAGGUGGGACUGGCGAUUGGGACGAAGUCGUAACAAGGUAGCCGUACCGAAAGGUGCGGCUGAU
Molecule: ribosomal RNA, 1501 nt
Filed under: Streptomyces sp. TRI-21
Lineage: Bacteria; Bacillati; Actinomycetota; Actinomycetes; Kitasatosporales; Streptomycetaceae
Description: bacterial SSU rRNA
Rfam family: Bacterial small subunit ribosomal RNA
Source: RNAcentral